Molecule: transfer RNA, 90 nt
Filed under: Candidatus Omnitrophota bacterium
Lineage: Bacteria; Pseudomonadati; Candidatus Omnitrophota
Description: Candidatus Omnitrophica bacterium (groundwater metagenome) tRNA-Ser
Rfam family: tRNA
About the family: Transfer RNA (tRNA) molecules are approximately 80 nucleotides in length. Their secondary structure includes four short double-helical elements and three loops (D, anti-codon, and T loops).
Source: RNAcentral
GGAGAGGUACCCAAGUGGUUGACGGGAAUCGCCUUGAAAGCGAUCAGGCCCUGAUGAGGGGCCUCGUGGGUUCGAAUCCCACCCUCUCCG